This is a non-coding RNA of Nicotiana tabacum (common tobacco), 574 nucleotides long. Lineage: Eukaryota; Viridiplantae; Streptophyta; Magnoliopsida; Solanales; Solanaceae. The record is from RefSeq and is a predicted model, not a curated record.
UAUAUGCAAGAACUAUAUUCAGUAAAUUUGUUAGAUCACCAUCUCCAAUAAAAGAUCAUUCAAUUUUCUACUUGCUUAUUUUUUUUUCUGGUUCAUUCUGAAUUCUUAGGUGUGCAAUGAUGGAAAAUUGAGCCUGGUCUAUAUGAACAAAAAAUCUCAGGUUGUGACCAAGUUGAAGAGUAAACGUGCUGGUGGAGCUUUUUCUAAGAACAAUAAACGUAAGCUCUCUCCUUACAGUAUUAUGGUAGUUCACAACCGGAGUUGUUUGUAAACUAUGUGACGGAAGUGAGGCAUGACUCUUCAAUAAAGAGUUGAAACCUAGAUUUGUACCUUGGGAUAAAGACUUCUCAGGAUAUUCUGGAGUUCAAGUGCAAAUACAAAAGCGAUAAACAAAAAAGGGUGGAGAUAGAAUUCAGGAACUUGUUGAUUGAGCCAAGUGAGGGCUCACUGAGAGUGUUGGACAUAAUAAGAACUUUUAUUAGACUGACUUAUUAAGUUUUGUUUUUUCAUUUUUAUGUUAUUAGGUGUAUAAAAAUGUUUAUGAGUUAUGACUGUACUUGGUUUUUUCUGUUGA